AGGUCGCCGCUUGCUCUCGUUCCUAGGGUUUGGCCUGCAGUGGACGAGCAUCGCAUAGCCUGCGGGGCUGGAUGCUGACCGCCCGGGCCAGCACCUAGGCGGACGCGGAGCUGUGCAGACCAGGGUCUAUCAGCCACAGUCUCUGCAUGUUUCCAAGAGCAACAGGAAAUGAACACAUUGCAGGGGCCAGUGUCAUUCAAAGAUGUGGCUGUGGAUUUCACCCAGGAGGAGUGGCGGCAACUGGACCCUGAUGAGAAGAUAGCAUACGGGGAUGUGAUGUUGGAGAACUACAGCCAUCUAGUUUCUGUGGGGUAUGAUUAUCACCAAGCCAAACAUCAUCAUGGAGUGGAGGUGAAGGAAGUGGAGCAGGGAGAGGAGCCGUGGAUAAUGGAAGGUGAAUUUCCAUGUCAACAUAGUCCAGAACCUGCUAAGGCCAUCAAACCUAUUGAUCGGAAGUCAGUCCAUCAGAUUUGCUCUGGGCCAGUGGUACUGAGUCUAAGCACUGCAGUGAAGGAGUUAGUAGAAAACAGUCUGGAUGCUGGUGCCACUAAUAUUGAUCUAAAGCUUAAGGACUAUGGAGUGGAUCUCAUUGAAGUUUCAGACAAUGGAUGUGGGGUAGAAGAAGAAAACUUUGAAGGCUUAACUCUGAAACAUCACACAUGUAAGAUUCAAGAGUUUGCCGACCUAACUGAAGUUGAAACUUUCGGUUUUCAGGGGGAAGCUCUGAGCUCACUGUGUGCACUGAGCGAUGUCACCAUUUCUACCUGCCACGCGUCGGUGAAGGUUGGGACUCGACUGGUGUUUGAUCACGAUGGGAAAAUCAUCCAGGAAACCCCCUACCCCCACCCCAGAGGGACCACAGUCAGCGUGAAGCAGUUAUUUUCUACGCUACCUGUGCGCCAUAAGGAAUUUCAAAGGAAUAUUAAGAAGACGUGCCUGCUUCCCCUUCGCCUUCUGCCGUGAUUGUCAGUUUCCUGAGGCCUCCCCAGCCAUGCUUCCUGUACAGCCUGCAGAACUGUGAGUCAAUUAAACCUCUUUUCUUCAUAAAUUA
Homo sapiens (human) is the source of this 1051-nucleotide long non-coding RNA. Ensembl annotates it as PMS1 homolog 2, mismatch repair system component pseudogene 3. Its record names the gene PMS2P3. The record is from Ensembl. Lineage: Eukaryota; Metazoa; Chordata; Mammalia; Primates; Hominidae.